CUACGUGCCAGCAGCCGCGGUAAUACGGAGGGUGCGAGCGUUAAUCGGAAUAACUGGGCGUAAAGGGCACGCAGGCGGUGACUUAAGUGAGGUGUGAAAGCCCCGGGCUUAACCUGGGAAUUGCAUUUCAUACUGGGUCGCUAGAGUACUUUAGGGAGGGGUAGAAUUCCACGUGUAGCGGUGAAUGCGUAGAGAUGUGGAGGAAUACCGAAGGCGAAGGCAGCCCCUUGGGAAUGUACUGACGCUCAUGUGCGAAAGCGUGGGGAGCAAACAGGAUUAGAUACCCUGGUAGUCCACGCUGUAAACGAUGUCGAUUUGGGGGUUGAACUUUGAGUUUGGCGCCCGUAGCUAACGUGAUAAAUCGACCGCCUGGGGAGUACGGCCGCAAGGUUAAAACUCAAAUGAAUUGACGGGGGCCCGCACAAGCGGUGGAGCAUGUGGUUUAAUUCGAUGCAACGCGAAGAACCUUACCUACUCUUGACAUCCAGA
Molecule: ribosomal RNA, 489 nt
Filed under: uncultured bacterium
Lineage: Bacteria
Description: bacterial SSU rRNA
Rfam family: Bacterial small subunit ribosomal RNA
Source: RNAcentral